Long non-coding RNA from Cervus elaphus (red deer), 369 nucleotides. RefSeq lists it as uncharacterized. The record is from RefSeq and is a predicted model, not a curated record. NCBI's taxonomy places the organism in Eukaryota, Metazoa, Chordata, Mammalia, Artiodactyla, Cervidae. The transcript is spliced from 3 exons.
UGGGCCCCUAUUUAGGCGCUACGAGGCUCGGCCGGCGCGCGGUCUCCCCGGGUCUCAUCGGGAGCGACUCCCGACCAGGAGAAAGCAUGAAGCUGGAUCCCCGUCAGCCUCCCAUCCCAGCCAGCCUGCCUGUUGCUAUGGAUACGGACGGUACCACUUGCCUCCUCGGUUCCUCAGUUCCUUCCUGUCUACAAAGGACUGAUCUCAGCAUCUACUCCAGAAACCCUAGGAGCACCAUCCAGGCUGGAAACUGACUCACCGUGGGCUUGUAAUCUAUCUCGUCCAUCGACCUGAAGAAGUCCAGGCUCCUGGCCGCUGCCAGCUUCCCCUGGUCUGAGCUGUGUGUGCUCAGCGUGUCCAGGAUCUCGC